UACGUAGGUGGCAAGCGUUGUCCGGAAUUAUUGGGCGUAAAGCGCGCGCAGGCGGUCCUUUAAGUCUGAUGUGAAAGCCCACGGCUCAACCGUGGAGGGUCAUUGGAAACUGAGGGACUUGAGUGCAGAAGAGAAGAGUGGAAUUCCACGUGUAGCGGUGAAAUGCGUAGAUAUCAGGAAGAACACCCGUGGCGAAGGCGGCUCUCUGGUACGUGACUGACGCUGAGACGCGAAAGCGUGGGGAGCAAACAGG
Molecule: ribosomal RNA, 253 nt
Filed under: uncultured bacterium
Lineage: Bacteria
Description: partial 16S ribosomal RNA
Rfam family: Bacterial small subunit ribosomal RNA
Source: RNAcentral